This 468-nucleotide ribosomal RNA is filed under the name uncultured bacterium. RNAcentral describes it as "partial 16S ribosomal RNA". It matches the Rfam family "Bacterial small subunit ribosomal RNA", at positions 28 to 507 of the family's 1533-position model. The record is from RNAcentral.
GACGAACGCUGACGGCGUGCUUAACACAUGCAAGUCGAACGGAAAGGCCCUGCUUUUGUGGGGUGCUCGAGUGGCGAACGGGUGAGUAACACGUGAGUAACCUGCCCUUGACUUUGGGAUAGCUUCAGGAAACUGGGGCUAAUACCGGAUAGGAGCUCCUGCUGCAUGGUGGGGGUUGGAAAGUUUCGGCGGUUGGGGAUGGACUCGCGGCUUAUCAGCUUGUUGGUGGGGUAGUGGCUUACCAAGGCUUUGACGGGUAGCCGGCCUGAGAGGGUGACCGGCCACAUUGGGACUGAGAUACGGCCCAGACUCCUACGGGAGGCAGCAGUGGGGAAUAUUGCACAAUGGGCGGAAGCCUGAUGCAGCAACGCCGCGUGCGGGAUGACGGCCUUCGGGUUGUAAACCGCUUUCGCCUGUGACGAAGCGUGAGUGACGGUAAUGGGUAAAGAAGCACCGGCUAACUACGUG